This 1038-nucleotide ribosomal RNA is filed under the name uncultured bacterium. RNAcentral describes it as "bacterial SSU rRNA". It matches the Rfam family "Bacterial small subunit ribosomal RNA", at positions 34 to 1087 of the family's 1533-position model. The record is from RNAcentral.
GGCUUGGUCCGAUGCUUACACAUGCAAGUCGAUUCAAGUUACCUUCGGGUAAUGAGGAUGGCGGACGGGUGAGUAACGCGUAAGGAACUUGCCUCUUGGACUGGGACAACUGUUGGAAACGACAGCUAAUACCGGAUAUUAUGAGAUUCUCGCAUGAGAAACUUAUGAAAGCUAUAUGCGCCAAGAGAGAGCCUUGCGUUCCAUUAGCUAGUUGGUGGGGUAACGGCCCACCAAGGCGACGAUGGAUAGCCGGCCUGAGAGGGUGAACGGCCACAAGGGGACUGAGACACGGCCCUUACUCCUACGGGAGGCAGCAGUGAGGAAUAUUGGACAAUGGGCCACAAGCCUGAUCCAGCAAUUCUGUGUGCACGAUGAGGGUCUUCGGAUUGUAAAGUGCUUUCAGUUGGGAAGAAGAAAGUGACGGUACCAACAGAAGAAGCGACGGCUAAAUACGUGCCAGCAGCCGCGGUAAUACGUAUGUCGCAAGCGUUAUCCGGAUUUAUUGGGCGUAAAGCGCGUCUAGGCGGAAAAAUAAGUCUGAUGUUAAAAUGCGGGGCUCAACUCCGUAUUGCGUUGGAAACUGUUUUUCUAGAGUACUGGAGAGGUGGGCGGAACUACAAGUGUAGAGGUGAAAUUCGUAGAUAUUUGUAGGAAUGCCGAUGGAGAAGUCAGCUCACUGGACAGAUACUGACGCUGAAGCGCGAAAGCGUGGGGAGCAAACAGGAUUAGAUACCCUGGUAGUCCACGCCGUAAACGAUGAUCACUAGGUGUUGGGGGUCGAACCUCAGCGCCCAAGCUAACGCGAUAAGUGAUCCGCCUGGGGAGUACGCACGCAAGUGUGAAACUCACAGGAAUUGACGGGGACCCGCACAAGCGGGGGAGCAUGUGGUUUAAUUCUACGCAACGCGAGAAACCUUACCAGCGUUUGACUUCCUAGGAAUUUUCCGGAGAGGGAUUCGUGGCGGCUUGGCGGGAACUCAGGGACAGGUGUUGAUUGCCUGUCCUACACCUCUGGACGCGAGAGUGUGAGUUAGGUCC